This 502-nucleotide ribosomal RNA is filed under the name Clostridioides difficile. RNAcentral describes it as "partial 23S ribosomal RNA". It matches the Rfam family "Bacterial large subunit ribosomal RNA", at positions 2318 to 2819 of the family's 2925-position model. The record is from RNAcentral. Lineage: Bacteria; Bacillati; Bacillota; Clostridia; Peptostreptococcales; Peptostreptococcaceae.
UCUCUCAGUACGGUCGGAAAUCGUACGUAGAGUGUAAAGGCAAAAGAGAGCUUGAUUGCAAGACAUACAGGUCGAGCAAGGAUGAAAAUCGGACUUAGUGAUCCGGUGGUUCUGCGUGGAAGGGCCAUCGCUCAACGGAUAAAAGCUACCCUGGGGAUAACAGGCUUAUCUCCCCCAAGAGUCCACAUCGACGGGGAGGUUUGGCACCUCGAUGUCGGCUCAUCACAUCCUGGGGCUGUAGUAGGUCCCAAGGGUUGGGCUGUUCGCCCAUUAAAGUGGUACGCGAGCUGGGUUCAGAACGUCGUGAGACAGUUCGGUCCCUAUCCGUCGCAGGCGUAGGAAAUUUGAGAAGACCUGUCCUUAGUACGAGAGGACCGGGAUGGACGUACCUCUGGUGUACCAGUUGUCCUGCCAAGGGCAUGGCUGGGUAGCUAUGUACGGAAUGGAUAAGCGCUGAAAGCAUCUAAGCGCGAAGCCAACUUCAAGAUAAGAUUUCCCACCG